Long non-coding RNA from Octopus sinensis (East Asian common octopus), 180 nucleotides. RefSeq lists it as uncharacterized. The transcript has 3 exons. The record is from RefSeq and is a predicted model, not a curated record. NCBI's taxonomy places the organism in Eukaryota, Metazoa, Mollusca, Cephalopoda, Octopoda, Octopodidae.
CGGUGGCAUGUAAAAGCACCCACUACACUCUUGGAGUGGCUGGCUUGAGGAAGGGCAUCCAGCCAUAGAAACCCUGUCAAAUCAGACCGGUGUCUGAUGCAGCCCCUCAACUUACCAGCCCAGGUCAAACUGUCCAACUCAUGCCAGCAUGGACAAUGGACAUUAAAUGAUGAAGGUGAU